UACGGAGGGGGCUAGCGUUGUUCGGAAUUACUGGGCGUAAAGCGCACGUAGGCGGCUUUGUAAGUUAGAGGUGAAAGCCCAGGGCUUAACCCUGGAAUUGCCUUUAAGACUGCAUCGCUAGAAUCGUGGAGAGGUGAGUGGAAUUCCGAGUGUAGAGGUGAAAUUCGUAGAUAUUCGGAAGAACACCAGUGGCGAAGGCGACUCACUGGACACGUAUUGACGCUGAGGUACGAAAGCGUGGGGAGCAAACAGG
Molecule: ribosomal RNA, 253 nt
Filed under: uncultured bacterium
Lineage: Bacteria
Description: partial 16S ribosomal RNA
Rfam family: Bacterial small subunit ribosomal RNA
Source: RNAcentral